RNAcentral lists this microRNA (22 nucleotides) under Prunus persica (peach). RNAcentral describes it as "ppe-miR171d-5p". Its record names the gene ppe-miR171d-5p. Lineage: Eukaryota; Viridiplantae; Streptophyta; Magnoliopsida; Rosales; Rosaceae. The record is from miRBase by way of RNAcentral.
UGUGAUAUUGGUUCGGUUCAUA